Molecule: ribosomal RNA, 253 nt
Filed under: uncultured bacterium
Lineage: Bacteria
Description: partial 16S ribosomal RNA
Rfam family: Bacterial small subunit ribosomal RNA
Source: RNAcentral
UACAGAGGGUGCGAGCGUUAAUCGGAAUUACUGGGCGUAAAGCGCACGUAGGUGGCGACGUAAGUCGGGUGUGAAAGCCCCGGGCUCAACCUGGGAAUUGCAUUCGAGACUGCAUUGCUGGAGUACGGAAGAGGAAGGCGGAAUUCCCGGUGUAGCGGUGAAGUGCGUAGAUAUCGGGAGGAACAUCAGUGGCGAAGGCGGCCUUCUGGUCCAGUACUGACACUCAAGUGCGAAAGCGUGGGGAGCAAACAGG